UACGUAGGGGGCAAGCGUUGUCCGGAAUCAUUGGGCGUAAAGAGCGUGUAGGCGGCCUGAUAAGUCGGCUGUGAAAGUCAAGGGCUCAACCCUUGAAUGCCGGCCGAUACUGUCAGGCUAGAGUCCGGAAGAGGCGAGUGGAAUUCCUGGUGUAGCGGUGAAAUGCGCAGAUAUCGGGAGGAACACCUAUGGCGAAGGCAGCUCGCUGGGACGUUACUGACGCUGAGACGCGAAAGCGUGGGGAGCAAACAGG
This 253-nucleotide ribosomal RNA is filed under the name uncultured bacterium. RNAcentral describes it as "partial 16S ribosomal RNA". It matches the Rfam family "Bacterial small subunit ribosomal RNA", at positions 524 to 776 of the family's 1533-position model. The record is from RNAcentral.